AACGCACCUUGCGCUCCUUGGUAUUCCGAGGAGCAUGCCUGUUUGAGUGUCAUGAAAUCUUCAACCUACAAGCUUUUGUGGUUUUGUAGGCUUGGACUUGGAGGCUUGUCGGCCAUUCUCGGUCGGCUCCUCUUAAAUGCAUUAGCUUGGUUCCUUGUGGAUCGGCUCUCGGUGUGAUAACAUCUACGCCGCGACCGUGAAGCGUUUGGCGAGCUUCUAAUCGUCUCAGUUGAAGACAGCUUUAUGACCUCUGACCUCAAAUCAGGUAGGACUACCCGCUGAACUUAA
Molecule: unclassified non-coding RNA, 288 nt
Filed under: uncultured fungus
Lineage: Eukaryota; Fungi
Description: partial contains 5.8S ribosomal RNA, internal transcribed spacer 2, and large subunit ribosomal RNA
Rfam family: 5.8S ribosomal RNA (bases 1-52)
Source: RNAcentral